Prunus dulcis (almond) is the source of this 2159-nucleotide RNA transcript. It is a transcript of the gene named helicase and polymerase-containing protein TEBICHI-like, with no coding region annotated. NCBI's taxonomy places the organism in Eukaryota, Viridiplantae, Streptophyta, Magnoliopsida, Rosales, Rosaceae. The record is from RefSeq and is a predicted model, not a curated record. The transcript is spliced from 4 exons.
GACUUUGCAUCAGAUCUUUUGUCUUUGUAUUGCAGGUAUUGUACCUUGCUGUAAAUAUUUGUGCACCAUUGUACAUACAUUGUUAUUUUUGAGCUCUGUUAUCUUUAUCUAUUGUUUUCCUGCUCGUUUCCCUGGUGAUAAGUUAUUGGCUGGUUUAUCCCUAACCUCUUAUAUUUCAAAUUCUGCAUUCUCCAUCUUUCUUCUUUUUCUUCCUAAACUCCUUAUCCUUUUUUAUUCAGUGAUCUUCGUGACAGAGAUGAAGGUGAAUGAGCUUAAGAGACAAGCUAGCCCAUCUUUGCUUGACGUUUAAAAAGAGGCAUUGCAUUACCAAUCAGUCACAUGUGGAACAUGAAACCAGUUACUCUAGUGAGAAGAGUUCCGAAGCACUGCAGUCUGAUUGUGUUGAUAAAAAUGGGGUUACCGUUGUUAAUGAACUGCUCGAGCUUCAACCAACCCUGCAAGCAUGCAUUAAUACAGCAAAACUAUCUCUAGACAUGUUUGAAUGCUAUACGCUAGUGUUCGUGAAACCCCCAAGUUGACACGUGGAAGCUCAUCAUUUUCACCUGGAGAAGCUUUUUGGGAUGAUGCAAUACAACUUGACGAUGGUCUGUGUGCACAGGCAGUAGGAGUAAUUAGUGUUGCACGAUGUGACUGCAAGUCAAAGGAAAUUCUGGAUGAAGGUGAGCGGAUGGAUAAGGGUGGUGAUUCAGGGCCAAUGGGAAGCAUAGAAAGGAUUUAGAUAAAGAAGUGUCCCCACUACCUGUUAAAACAUUUUGAUUCCUCUUGUGAGGACAAAAAUUUGGAUAAAAAUGUACCACAUCAUUUGGAUGCAUACAACUUAAAGAGUGUGCCUCAUGUAGGUGGUGAGCAAUCUGAAUCGAGUCUUAUAGACCGUAGAGGUCUGAGAAAUACUAUGAUGAUCUGUUGCAACAAAUCUCAGGAAAAUCAAGUGACGUUUAGAUAUCAAUAUACAGAUUCUGUUAAUGCUCACCACCAACAUGAAAGUGGAUUUGACAGGCAAGGAUAUGACAUCUUAUUCACCAGUUGAUGAAGUCGCGAAGUUGACUGGUAACCAUGAAUCUAAUGAAGCAUGUACUCCUUCAAGUUUUGUGCCACUCAAAGAUCAUCUGGAUCUGAACAGUUGGCAACAACCAGAAAUAUGCAGCCUAUAUAGAAAGAAAGGAAUUUCAAAACUUUAUCCUUGGCAGGUUGACUACCUUCAGGUUGAAGUGUGUAUUGCAGAUAAGGAAUCUUGUAUAUUGCGCAUCAACAAGGCAGAACAUUUGAACGUACUGCUUGAACCACUUGGUUAGUGUGUUCGUAGUUACGUAGGAAACCAAGGUGGUGGAACACUUCCCAAAGAUACUUCUGUAGCUGUCUGCACAAAAGAAAAGGCAAACUUUUUGAUAAACAGGCUGCUGGAAGAGGGUCGUCUUUCAGAAAUUGGAAUUAUUGUAAUAGAUGAACAGGCUGCUGGUACUUCAUAUCCUUGUGGUUAUGUGUCAAUAGUUGUUUGCAACUUCUAUGCAAGAUUUAUAUUUUUUCUUCAUGGGCCUUUUUUCUUUUUCAGUUUGGUUAGUUUUCCUUUGGUAAUUGCUUUUUGGGUGGACUUAUUUAAAUGCCUUUCAUUCUUAUAACUAUUAACAGGUUGGCAAUCCAAGUAGGGGUUAUGACAAAACUUCGUUACGCAGCUGGUGAAGGCAAUUCUGAAUCAAGUAGUGGAGAAAGUUCAGGGAUGAGCAGUUGUAACGCUUACCCUGUCAUGGUCUGGAAAUUGUUGGGAUGAGUGCAACUAUGCCAAAUUUGGCAGCAGUUGCUAAUUGGCUUCGGGUAAGUAGAACUGUAAACAUUAACUAUGAUCCUUCUUGAACAAAUGUAGGUCCCUUAGUGCUGCCUAGCUGUGGGUGUUUGGCAAUUGAUUUAAGAAUAUAGAUACAAAAAUCUUUACUUGGAUUGUGUAACUUUAUAUAUGGGAUCUUGAAUUCCACUCUUAAUGUAGUUGUUCUGUAUAUGAUGAGUAAAACGUCUCAUAAGUUCCGUCUUUCAAGGCAAAGUUAAUGAAAUAGUUAAGUCUAGUUUUGGUAGAAAAAAUUUCAGGACACCAAUGACUCAAUUAUGCAAUUAACUAACUUGAUUUAGAUUUAACCUUUAACAGUGAU